GGGUGUCCAACUACAUGUCCCCAUUCAAAUGCAUUGAUCGUCCAAUAAAGAAAGGGGGGUUCCAACAUGUCCAACCUUCAGCCCCCCCCCCCCCUGGAUCCGUGCCUGUGAGGCAUGCUUUAGCUUGCCAUUAAACAAAAAUGUAUACUAGUUGAGUGAUAAUGGACGUCAUACUAAACUCUUCAAUAUAAAAAAAAGAAACUAAAAUAAAAAUCAUACAAAGGUCACAAAGGCCAUAACUUCUGGC
Molecule: long non-coding RNA, 247 nt
Filed under: Mytilus galloprovincialis (Mediterranean mussel)
Lineage: Eukaryota; Metazoa; Mollusca; Bivalvia; Mytilida; Mytilidae
Source: RNAcentral